Molecule: ribosomal RNA, 479 nt
Filed under: Mantidactylus ambreensis
Lineage: Eukaryota; Metazoa; Chordata; Amphibia; Anura; Mantellidae
Description: partial 12S ribosomal RNA
Rfam family: Bacterial small subunit ribosomal RNA (bases 1-404)
Source: RNAcentral
AAUCGAUGAUCCUCGAUAUACCUUACCAUUUUUUGCUUUCUCAGCUUGUAUACCUCCGUCGCAAACCUACCACUUGAGUGCCCCUAAGUAGGUUCAACUGGGCCUCUAACACGCCAAUACGUCAGGUCAAGGUGCAGCCCAUAAAAUGGGAAGUAAUGGGCUACAAUUUCUAAGAUAGAACAAACGAAAAACUACAUGAAACAUAGUCAUGAAGGCGGAUUUAGCAGUAAAAGAAGAACAAUAAGCUUCUUUUAACAAGGCUCUGGGACGUGUACAAACCGCCCGUCACCCUCUUCAAUAAACCCCCCCCCCCCCCCGCUCUAUAACACCCCCCCCAACACCUUAGAAGAGGUAAGUCGUAACAUGGUAAGUGUACUGGAAAGUGCACUUGGAAAACAAAGUAUAGCUUAAUUAAAGCAUUUCGCUUACACCGAAAAAAUAUCUAUUAACACAGAUUACUUUGAGCCCUAAAUCUAGCC